This 94-nucleotide transfer RNA is filed under the name Colletotrichum gloeosporioides Cg-14. It matches the Rfam family "tRNA". From Rfam's summary of the family: Transfer RNA (tRNA) molecules are approximately 80 nucleotides in length. The record is from Rfam by way of RNAcentral. Lineage: Eukaryota; Fungi; Ascomycota; Sordariomycetes; Glomerellales; Glomerellaceae.
GGGCGAAUAGUUCAGUGGUAGAAUGUCCGCUUCGCAUGAUACAUCUAUCUACCUUGCUUGCGGAGGGUCCUGGGUUCAAACCCCAGUUCGUCCA